GCUGGCACUUCAAGGCUUGAGCCGUACUGCAUACAGAUCAGUAGGUCCCGGGUUCGACUCCUGGUGCCGGCACCA
Molecule: transfer RNA, 75 nt
Filed under: Pseudomonas protegens
Lineage: Bacteria; Pseudomonadati; Pseudomonadota; Gammaproteobacteria; Pseudomonadales; Pseudomonadaceae
Description: tRNA-Cys
Source: RNAcentral